Molecule: ribosomal RNA, 394 nt
Filed under: uncultured bacterium
Lineage: Bacteria
Description: partial 16S ribosomal RNA
Rfam family: Bacterial small subunit ribosomal RNA
Source: RNAcentral
AUACGUAGGGAGUGAGCGUUGUCCGGAAUUACUGGGCGUAAAGGGCGCGUAGGCGGCGCUUCAAGUCGUCUGUCAAAUGGGAGGGCUUAACCCUUUUUCGCAGACGAAACUGGAGAGCUUGAGAAGCAGAGAGGCAAACAGAAUUCCUGGUGUAGCGGUGAAAUGCGUAGAUACCAGGAAGAAUACCAGUGGCGAAGGCGGUUUGCUGGCUGCAUACUGACGCUGAAGCGCGAAAGCCAGGGGAGCGAACGGGAUUAGAUACCCCGGUAGUCCUGGCAGUAAACGAUGUAUGCUGGGUGUGAGACUAGCGAUAGUUUCGUGCCGAAGUUAACGCGAUAAGCAUACCGCCUGGGGAGUACGGUCCCAAGAUUGAAACUCAAAUGAAUUGACGGGG